AUUUGAUUUUAAAACAGGUUUGUUUUAAUAAGUUUAACUACAUUUUGUCAGUUUUAUUAGUUUUAAUCAACUGGAGACUUCAGCUGAUUUUUACUACAAAUAUUUUUAUAUUACGGCCCUGUGUACACUACUCUGGAAAUAUUUAUAUACUCUUCUUUCUAACAGAACUGCUGUAGUACUCAGCCUGUACUACUCAGGUUGUAGUACUCAGGUUGUAGUACUCAGGUUGUAGUACUCAGGCUGCAGUACUCAGGCUGUACUACUCGGGUUGUAGUACGCAGGCUGUAGGUUGUAGUACGCAGGCUGUAGUACUCAGGUUGUGGUACUCAGGCUGCAGUACUCAGGCUGUACUACUCAGGUUGUAGUACGCAGGCUGUAGGUUGUAGUACGCAGGCUGUAGUACUCAGGUUGUGGUACUCAGGUUGUAGUACUCAGGUUGUAGUACUCAGGUUGUAGUACUCAGGCUGUAGGUUGUAGUACUCAGGUUGUAGUACUCAGUUUGUAGUACCCAGGCUGUAGGUUGUAGUACUCAGGUUGUAGUACUCAGGUUGUAGUACUCAGGCUGUAGGUUGUAGUACUCAGGUUGUAGUACUCAGGUUGUAGGUUGUAGUACUCAGGCUGUAGUACUCAGGCUGUAGGUUGUAGUACUCAGGUUGUAGUACUCAGGUUGUAGGUUGUAGUACUCAGGCUGUAGUACUCAGGCUGUAGGUUGUAGUACUCAGGCUGUAGGUUGUAGUACUCAGGUUGUAGUACUCAGGUUGUAGUACUCAGGUUGUAGUACUCAGGUUGUAGGUUGUAGUACUCAGGCUGUAGUACUCAGGCUGUAGUACUCAGGCUGUAGUACUCAGGUUGUAGGCUGUAGUACUCAGGCUGUAGUACUCAGGUUGUAGGCUGUAGUACUCAGGCUGUAGUACUCAGGCUGUAGUACUCAGGUUGUAGGCUGUAGUACUCAGGCUGUAGUACUCAGGCUGUAGUACUCAGGUUGUAGGCUGUAGUACUCAGGCUGUAGUACUCAGGCUGUAGUACUCAGGUUGUAGGCUGUAGUACUCAGGCUGUAGUACUCAGGCUGUAGUACUCAGGUUGUAGGCUGUAGUACUCAGGCUGUAGUACUCAGGCUGUAGUACUCAGGUUGUAGGCUGUAGUACUCAGGCUGUAGUACUCAGGCUGUAGUACUCAGGUUGUAGUACUCAGGCUGUAGUACUCAGGCUGUAG
Molecule: long non-coding RNA, 1212 nt
Organism: Austrofundulus limnaeus
Lineage: Eukaryota; Metazoa; Chordata; Actinopteri; Cyprinodontiformes; Rivulidae
Exons: 3
Source: RefSeq, a predicted model, not a curated record